GUGGGAACGGCCCACCGCAGGGUUGGCCACCUUGAGAAGCUGCGAAGAUGGCGGAGUAAGGCGUGCCGCUGCAAACUGGCCUCUGGGCCGGGGGCGAGCAGCCCCCGGGAGGCCGAGUGCAUCUGUUGGACCGUGCGAGGAGAAGAAAAAAAAUAUCGGCCAGAGGAGAGGAACUAACCGAACAUUCUUCCUCCCUACCUUAUAGAGGGGAGUGGUCAUCUACACUAAAGCAAAGUGUUAGGCGCGUCCGUGCGAAGAGACCACCAAACAGGCUUUGUGUUCCUUAUCACAGGAAGAAAAUUUUCCUUGACCUUUAGGUGCUUUUAUAUUCAUCUCAAAAACAAAAUUCUGAACUCAGGACUUGGCAAGAGGUGCAAGCGAAGAUGCAGUGCUACCUUAUUUUUCAUUUUUAUUUUUUGGAGACAGAGUCUCACUCUAUUGCACCACUGCACUCCAGCCUGGGCGACAGAGUGAGACUCCGUCUCAGAAAAAUAAAAAACAACUUUGGACAUAGAGGAGUUGGGGGCAGAGGGGGGAGGAUGAGAGAAUUUUCCAUGUAACUCCUUUUCCUUAAGAAAAAGAAGCAAAAAUCCCUCAUGCAGUGCCAUCUGACUUUAUGGUGUUUCACAUUAUAUAGUUACUUUUUUUAAUAAACGCAUAAGAUUAACUCUUCCUGCAACCCAAGGUGGAUACUUGGAUGUUUGAUUUUUAUUUAUUUAUUUAUUUAUUUUUUGAGGCAGUCUCUCUCUGUUGCCCAGGCUGGAGUGAUGCGUGAUUUCUGCUCACUGCAGUCUCUCCCACCCGGGUUCAAGCGAUUCUCCUGCCUCAGCCUCCCAAGUAGCUAGGAUUACAGGCGCGCACCACCACGCUCAGCCUGAUUUCUAGGCUGAAAAGGCUGGGACUCAGGUACUUUCCCCAGUUGGGACUGAACUUUCUCAUCAGAGAAUGGGCCUCAGAAGCAAUGUUCCCAAACUUGUGGUUGGGUCAUCGUGGAAAAGAAACCUCAAAUAAGAAAAAUAAUUACAAUAAGAAAUGGAUUUUCUUUUUUCCCACAACAGUUAUACAUUAUAAAGAACAGACUGUCGUAGAAAACUGUCUUUGCUUCCAAAUCAGCAGAGGACCAUUGUAUGUAUUGUCAGGUCUUUAUAUAAGAGUGAAACCUUUAUUUAUGCUUCUUGUGAGUAGAGAAUAAAUUUUAAAACUAAUUAGAUGAAAUUAA
RNAcentral lists this long non-coding RNA (1219 nucleotides) under Homo sapiens (human). RNAcentral's name for it is "OIP5 antisense RNA 1". The record is from RNAcentral. Lineage: Eukaryota; Metazoa; Chordata; Mammalia; Primates; Hominidae.